GGGUUGUGAGGUUAAGCGACCAAGCGUACACGGUGGAUGCCCUGGCAGUCAGAGGCGAUGAAGGACGUGCUAAUCUGCGAAAAGCGCCGGUAAGGUGAUAUGAACCGUUAUAACCGGCGAUGUCCGAAUGGGGAAACCCAGUGUGACUCGUCACACUAUCAUUAACUGAAUCCAUAGGUUAAUGAGGCGAACCGGGGGAACUGAAACAUCUAAGUACCCCGAGGAAAAGAAAUCAACCGAGAUUCCCCCAGUAGCGGCGAGCGAACGGGGAGGAGCCCAGAGCCUGAAUCAGCAUAUGUGUUAGUGGAAGCG
Molecule: ribosomal RNA, 312 nt
Filed under: Salmonella enterica subsp. arizonae
Lineage: Bacteria; Pseudomonadati; Pseudomonadota; Gammaproteobacteria; Enterobacterales; Enterobacteriaceae
Description: partial 23S ribosomal RNA
Rfam family: Bacterial large subunit ribosomal RNA
Source: RNAcentral